AAAUUUAGGUUAAAUAGACCAAGAGCCUUCAAAGCUCUAAGAAAGUAUAUCAUUACUUAAUUUCUG
Molecule: transfer RNA, 66 nt
Filed under: Microcebus tanosi (Anosy mouse lemur)
Lineage: Eukaryota; Metazoa; Chordata; Mammalia; Primates; Cheirogaleidae
Description: tRNA-Trp
Source: RNAcentral